UGAAGCUUUACAAAUCUACCCAUUUCCCCAGCGACAUUUCAGACGCUGCCAUCGACAGUCUCACUGCGCAAGCAACAUGAACCGUCUAUUUGGAGUGGACCUUCUGUCUGUCGCCGCAAUCUUAAUUGCUUUGAUCGUCAUGGCUCCGGAAGAAGCUCUCGCUAGCUUCGGCGGAGGUGCGGGAGGAGGAGCCGGAGGCCCCGAAGGCUCGCGCAAGAAGUGAAGUUUCGUGCGUCCUGAAUGACGCCAUUCCACUGUUGCCAUGCUCUGGAUGACCCGCUCGCCUGCAAUAAAAUGCGUGUUGAGAACAUAA
Dermacentor andersoni is the source of this 313-nucleotide long non-coding RNA. RefSeq lists it as uncharacterized. Lineage: Eukaryota; Metazoa; Arthropoda; Arachnida; Ixodida; Ixodidae. The record is from RefSeq and is a predicted model, not a curated record.